RNAcentral lists this transfer RNA (61 nucleotides) under Alectorobius mimon. RNAcentral describes it as "tRNA-Leu". Lineage: Eukaryota; Metazoa; Arthropoda; Arachnida; Ixodida; Argasidae. The record is from RNAcentral.
GUUAAAGAGGCAGAUUAGUGCGAAGAAUUUAAGCUUCUUUUAUGAUGAAAAUCCUUUAAUA